GGUAGCAUAAUCACUUGCCCAUUAAUUGUGGGCUAGAAUGAAAGGACCAACGAAAUAAAAACUGUCUCUAUAAGUAACCAUAAAAAUUAAUCUCUAGCUGAAGAUUGUUAGAUACUGUCGAAGGACAAGAAGACCCUAUAGAGCUUUAUUUUUACAAAUAACUAAAAUUUGAAUAAAAUUCGGUUGGGGCGACCAGGGAAAUUAAGUAUCAUCCCUUAAUAACAGAUAAAUAAAUCACACACUUGACCCUUAACAAAAGAUCAUAAAAACAAGCUACCUUAGGGAUAACAGGCUAAUCCCGCUAAAGAGUCCUUAUCAAUAGCAGGGUUUGGCAC
RNAcentral lists this ribosomal RNA (335 nucleotides) under Eisenia fetida (common brandling worm). RNAcentral describes it as "partial 16S ribosomal RNA". It matches the Rfam family "Bacterial large subunit ribosomal RNA", at positions 1955 to 2524 of the family's 2925-position model. The record is from RNAcentral. Lineage: Eukaryota; Metazoa; Annelida; Clitellata; Crassiclitellata; Lumbricidae.